This is an RNA transcript of Orussus abietinus, 802 nucleotides long. It is a transcript of the gene named 40S ribosomal protein S9, with no coding region annotated. The record is from RefSeq and is a predicted model, not a curated record. The transcript has 5 exons. NCBI's taxonomy places the organism in Eukaryota, Metazoa, Arthropoda, Insecta, Hymenoptera, Orussidae.
UCUAGUGUGUGAUCUGAAUGUAACCUAUGCAGGCGGAAACAGCGAAUACGAUCGUCGGCCAUUUCGUUCCUGGCUGUUUCGUCGUUUGGUUGGCGUCGGUAAAAGUCACCAACCAUGGUGAACGGAAGAAUUCCAUCGGUCUUCUCGAAGACCUAUGUUACUCCGCGGCGACCUUAUGAAAAGGCUCGUCUUGAUCAGGAGUUGAAGAUAAUUGGGGAGUAUGGACUACGUAAUAAGCGCGAGGUCUGGAGGGUGAAGUACACAUUGGCGAAGAUUCGUAAAGCCGCUCGUGAACUGCUUACUCUUGAAGAGAAGGACCCAAAACGUCUCUUCGAAGGAAAUGCUUUAUUGCGUCGACUGGUUCGUAUCGGAGUCUUGGAUGAGAGCCGCAUGAAGCUCGAUUACGUCCUGGGUCUGAAGAUCGAAGACUUCUUGGAGAGACGUCUACAGACUCAGGUCUUUAAGCUUGGACUUGCGAAGUCUAUCCAUCAUGCACGAGUUCUGAUUCGUCAGAGGCAUAUUCGAUACGAAGACUGUUUAUCCACCUGGCUGCAAGGCGUAUCUUGAUGUUAAUCUCACGUUUCGCGCCUACCAUUGAAACUGCUAGAGCCGAAUCAAUCGUUUUAUUUCAAACAGACCACUUAAGUGUCAGACAAUGUCUGCCACUUAACGUCUGAUUUUUGAUGCUCUCCGGGCCAUUUAUACCAUUGAGUGAGGAAGCAAGUAGUGAACAUUCCUUCCUUCAUCGUUCGACUCGACUCGCAGAAGCACAUCGACUUCUCCCUGAAGUCGCCCUUCGGUG